AUUACUUAUAGACUAACCCAAUAUUUGUAUUGACUAUUAGUAAAGAAAAUAAAAUAAUUAAUAAAAAUAAUGUGCGAUGUGUUAUAAAAAUAAUAAAACAAUUGCUUUCAGUGUUAUUUAUUAGAGUCAAGAAUAAACUAUCGUCGGUACUAUUCUCACAAAAGAAAAUUCAGCUUCCUUAUCAUCUAAACCAAGGCAAUUCGGAAAAUAUUGAAGCCACUGCAUCUUCCUGAGAUUCUAGUGUACUUCCUUUAAGUCAUUUUUCCGCGUUACGUUUAUUUUCGGAAAUAAAUUGUACGGAUUGAUCAAAAUGAAAGACGCUGUAUAUCUCAUAAUACUCUACGAAUAGGAGAGUAAACGUGGAAGAAGACGAUAGAGAAACUGGCUUUUCUUUUUUGAUUUUCAAGACGCCUUCGAAAGAAGCUUGAAUAAUCGUUAAGGAUUUACUUUUGUUGAAAUUUACUUUCUAACUAAUUUUAUAAUACUUUUCUUCGUCUCGAGAAAAGAAAAAGAAGAAGAAAAGAGUUCAUUGAAAAUUAUAACGAGACUAUAUAGUUAUUCAAGAUUCGGUAAAUUUUUGAAUUCACCUUGACUUCCAUAGCUUUACGAAAGAACUGAGGUAUCACAAAACCAAUCGAAACUCGUUUCGGUAGUCGUAGAAUAGUGGCUAAGUGUAGUCUCUUAUCUCAUUUUCGUGAUGCAGCUUCUGGCAGAGCCUUCGCUUUUACACGGAUUUCAAGAAUUAUUCAAAAUCUGGUGCGCGUCUCCGGAACUCUUCGAUUAAUAUGUAAAUUUUCUUCGCUUCUGCGUCAUUUAAAUGAUUCGCUUAUAGUGGAAAAUUAAAGCAGUUCUUCCAUCGAUAUUUCUCUCUCUCUCUCUCUCUCUCUCUCUCUCUCUCUUUCUUUCUUUCUAUCUUUUUUCAAUACAAUUUCGAAAAAGGAAUAAGAACAAAAAAAGCAAGCUCGGAAUCUAAAAACGCAAAUCAAAUUUUCUUUUUCUCUAUCUUUUACUUCAUGAAAACACGUACGUACUGUAAUUUUGUGAAUACGUGAGAAAAAGAGAGGAAGAAAAUUCGUUAUCGUUUGGUAGUGUAUUCGUUUCGAGUUCACGUGACAAUUAUAUUAGAUAUAAAGAAAAUUUUCGCAAAUCGUACUUCGUUUCAGUCAUUGUAUUAAAUUAAAAUGUUCGAUAUUUUUGACUUUCUUUACUCUUUUCCUAUUCUUGCUUAAAUUAAUUAUUAGGCUGCUCUCUCAAGGCAAUGAUUACGAUAUCGAUUUUCUUCUCUUUCUUUCAUUUUUCUCUUAUUUAUCAUUUCACAUUUAUCCUUUUCCAAACUAUAUAUAAUAUUAAUGUAUUGAAAUUAGAAAAUUUAUCAUAGUACGAGCCAAUUCGGUAGAUUACAUUUCAAUAUGAUCUACUCUGAGUUACGGUAGGUAGUAAGCCGUGUUGUAAUCAGCAUCAAAUCGCAAUUCGAACUCUGAUCGCAUUUAAUCCGAUCUGAGAAUUAUUACUUGCUCAAUGAGUAAUGAUCUUUGGUGGUCUUUUUUCUCCUUUCUUGUUUCUUUCUAUCAAUAUUUUAUCAAAACACCAUUAUUUUUACGUGUAUUCUCUUUCUCUCAAUUUUUUUUCGUCUUGUUUCAUGCAAAACGCACGUCAUAGCCGCUGAGUCCGAUUUCCGAUAAAACGAAAUAUACGACUUGAUAAAGAUACGAUCGCAAUCUCCUGUCGUGGAUGAGCAUAUUUUUGUUAACUAUUCUUGAAAACAUUUUUAUUCUUUUUAAAUAUCCCCGUGUAGAUAUUAUAAUUUUGAUUUAUUUUAAUACAUGCAGAAGAACGUGAAAAUAAAUUUAUGAAAAUUCAUUAGCGAUGCAUCAGCAUUCUGUUUUUUUUUUUGAGAUAAUCAGUAAACAUCCUAUAACUUACUAUGCGGAAAAAUAAAAAGCAAAUAUUUAUAUUUUUCUAUAUUUAUAUAAUACUGAUUGCGAAUAAACAAGUUUAGCUGGUUCCGUAUUUUAUUUAUUUUCAAAUUAAUCUUUAAAUUCGCAAUAUGAUGCAACGUAUACUCGAUUAUUCUUAACCUCCGCUGAGUGGUUAGCACGUGGCUCGAAGUUGACGCAUCGUUGCUCCUGCGUUGGUCGUGGCGCCGCGUUAUACUUCUUUCCCGGACAACUCGUACUGCUUGUCGUUUUGCGUCAAACGAUCUCGAAGAACGAUGAAUCGCGCGAGAUCAUUGGAUAGAUUACAUUACCUUGUUUUCUUGGGAACACAUAAUGUAGUCUUUUUUUUCACUUCUUUACGUCAUAUUGUCUGUGAGCGUAUUUUUGCUACUUCUCGAGUACUCGAGUCCAUUAAUUUCGUGAAAACCCAUCGCACUUUUUUUCUUCAGAAAAAAUAUCACGAAUACGGAAUGAUGAUAGAGUCAUGUUUGUCACUAAUGCAAUAUUUGUUAUGAAAUUUCGUAUUACUACAAGAUACUGUCCAUUAUAAUUUUAAUCGAUUUGAUGUAUCAUCGUAAAAAGUAAAAGAGAAAUAAUAAGAAUUACACGUUGAAGUAUAGAAAACGUUCAAAUAUCUCGAACAUUUCUAUAAUCUCGGUGGAGAGCGAAUAUCGCAUAUCACCUGGCAGAAUUAUUCAUUAUAAAUAAAAUCGAACCUUCGAAAAGUGUGCUCCUGACGAUUGAUUGAUAAUAUAAUCCUCCCGUGAAUAUCCAAGAGCGAACGAAUUUUCAAACUAAUAUCCGGAUAUAGCCUAUACGACCGAGAGUAUCGACUGAUCAUUUCGAAAUAUGAAUCCGUGAUGCAAAUCACAUACACUCAACACGAAAUAUUCUUUACGUUGUCUUUACAAUACGAGAAAAUAUUUUGCAAAUAUUACAUUAUUAUAUUGAAAAUAUUACAUUAACGAUUUAAUUAACGUUCAAUAUUUAUUGCCAAUAGUGUUAAUAAAGACGUAGCAUUUUGUCAUAUAUAUUUUUCUAAUUACCCAAACGAAACGACUCAUUAGAUCGAUUCUUUUCCGAAACGUGUUUCGUUACAAAUAUUUUUAAAGUCGUAUCUUUAUCGCAUAAAAUUGAGAAUAAUAAUAUCAAGGAUAAUGAUAAUAUUGAAUUAUAAAUUUGAGAAUUAAUAUUCAAAUGUGACGAGUUAAUAAAUGAAAUAAGAAAGCGAUAACGUUCGUGCAACGAAAAAAGAUUUAAGUAAACGUUUUUCCUUUCUUUUUCUCGAUCAAAUAACGUACGCUCAAGACUGUAGGGUGUGCAAAGUCGACGUCGACUAGGUCAAGCUUGCUUAAAGCCGCUCGCCAAUGGGACCUUUCACCUCCUGGCGCUCACGGCUAGGGAGAUUAAUUAAAAAGUUUGAAGAGAGAUGCCGAGAAAGUUUGGAGAGUCGCUUGAUCGUCGACGAAAAAGUCGACGAGCUUUGCUUCGCAAGACUUGUCCAGGCUAUGUUACGUGUGUCAGGGUUGAAAGUAUCUACGAACCACUUUGGCUCUGCUUCCAACACUGCUUCUCUUUACCUUCGUAACGAGCUUCGCGAGUCGUUUCUAUGUCGCAUACAUUUUCUCGGAUUAUACUAGCACCAUAUAGAAACUCGAGUCACAGAUCGGUUUCUUAUACUUGGCCACUCUUGCUGCUAGCUACUAUGGUUGUUGAAGAAGAAAGGAAAAGGAGAAAGAAGAGCAGGAGGAGAACGGAUCUUAUAAUUUUGUACUGACGCUGCAAACGGGCAAAAUUGCGUACAUAGGACGUUAAGAGAGCGUUGGCUUUACAAUGCAAAUCCACUCGAACGUUUCUGACGGAAAUGAGAUGGUGAAAACACUGUAGUCUAUAAGAAACAGAGAGAGAGAGAGAGAGAGGGAGAGAGAGAGAGAGGGAGAGAGAGAGAGAGGAGAAGUUUAUCAAACUAGGGUAUAAACUCUUGUAAAUAUACUAUCGCAUAGUAUGGAGUAUAAUACGUGACGAAAACUAUCACUGUAACAACGUUGAAUGACGAAAAUUGUCAACUCAAAGAUAAAAUGAAAAUGAAGAUUGAAAGGAGUCGUUCUUUUCUCGAACAAGCUUUCAACUUAUCGAGCAAAAAAUCUAUUUAAAGCAGAGAUCGAAACUUUCUUCUCGUCGAAUGACCCUGAAAUAUUGGGCAAAGAUAAAGAUAGAGAUAGAGGGAGAGAGACAGACAGAGAGAGAGAGAGAGAGGGAGAGAGAGGAGAGAGAGAGAGAAAGAGAAAGAGAGAUAGAGAGAAAGAGAGAGGAAGUGGGAUGCUCGAUCGUAAAAAACUUUGAUACGUUUCAUGUCUGACAGAUUAUCCAGCUUACCGCGUUGCGCAUUAGAGACGUUUUUGAUAACACCAGAUGCUCGCAUAUGCUUCGCUUUUUCUCCUUGCUCGGCGGCGAAACUUUUCGCAGGAGUCUCGUUCGAAACUUUCUAGCCGUUAUACCGAAGCAAUGUUUCAUUUUUUUUCCAUAAGGAGAAAGAAAAAGAUAGAGAUAAAAAUAGAUAGAUAGAUAGAGAGAAAGAGAGAGAGAGAGAGAGAGAGAGAGAGAGAGAGAGAGAGAGAGAGAGAGAAGGAACUAUAUUGAUGAUGCUUGUUGAAAAAGUUAAGACAUCCAACGUUUCAUUAAUUCUUUUCUUCUUAUUAAUUCUAACCCUGUCAAUUUUAAUCACGAUCUUAACUUAAGCUAAUAUUCUGUUUAUUAUAUUUAAAUAAGUAAUUACAUUUAUAUUCUUUUUGAAAUAUGAUUGGUAUGUGCAUUCAUACAUACAAAAUAUAAUAUCUUGCAAGAAAUUUUGCUAUGAAACUUGACUAUGUAAGCAAAUUCAACGAAUUUUGACGCAUCAUGAAAACCGAUACGUUGAUAUACGGCUAUCUUAUACCGUCGUUGAAAUUUGUCGACAUUUCGUGAUAUCAGACUGAUACCAAUCAUACCUUGCUAUGGCAACUACUCCGUCAAUGUUUAUACUUAUAAAAUAUAAUAUAAUAUAAAAUCAUUGAUGAAAAUUUCGUCGCUUUUAAAAAGCACAAAGAAAAACAUAAAUAAGGCACACGUUUGAUUCUAGUUCAUUUAUUUGACAUAUCUAUAUUUUUUUUUUCAUUAACUAUAUUCUUUGUAAAAGUAGAAAAAGAAAAUGGGUCAUUCUCGAGUAAAUAAGCUAUACAGUUUCUAAUGCUAAUGGCUAAUAUCCAGACAUUUUUUGUACAAUUCUGAUCGAAUGACAUCAGCGAUUAUAACAAUGAGAUCUCAAAUAUCCGUAAAUGUUUUCGUAUGCUAUCACACGCAUACUGUCAGCUACAAUAUCGAAAUCAAGAUAUUCGAAACCAUUUAAAUGCGCUUUCACCAAAGUUAUAAAUUUAAUGUUUAUUCAUUUUGACACUUAAUAUUAUUAUCAGUAAUAUUAUUACAUUUUUCACAUUCGCGAACAAUCAAGGACUUUUUCUGUAUCUUCGUGCGUGAUUAAUAAUAAAGAUUCUGUAAUCAUUAUCUUUUUUGUGAAGAUAUUAUUAUAAUAUUGCUAUCGCAAAUUGGAUCAAAUCGCAAUAAAAAAAAACUAGCUCUUAUAUAUCAUAUAUUUUUUUAUAAAUCUCGAUAAAUGCAGUAUUCGAGAAAUAACAGAAGAGGAAAAGACAGAUAGCAUUAGAUAAAGAUAAAGGAGUAAAAAAAGGAGAAACAAGAGAGAGAAAAAGAAUGAGAGAGAGAGAGAGAGAGAGAUCGAUACAUGAUUUAUUAACGUCGAUAGAGCACGCACGUGCUCUGUGACAUUCAUUAACUCGACCAACACUAACUUCGGUAUAAAUAGGCAUUUGGCAUCGUUAACUUCGACAAUUUGCUCUGUGAUUAUUUGAGCCGGCCAGAGGAAAUUUACGUCCUCUCGUUUCUCGACGGUCCAAACCGAAGACUAAUUUUAAGAUCUUCUAAGAACCUACGACUAAUUCUAAGACCUUUCUUACGUGAAUAAUAUUAGUUUGAUUUAUCGAAUGAAAAUUUGAUUUCGCCGUGGAAUUUAUUACGCGAUGCGUUCAUUUUUUGUUAGCGUGGUCUCAUGUGCGAGGUAAGGAAAGUAAAAAAAAAGGAGAAACAGAAAAGAAGAGAAAAGAGAAAAAUCAAGAAAAAUUUUUCAGAGAAUUAACAGCCGGAAGAAAUUUAACUCGAUCAUCACAGAGGAAAUUUUUGAAAAGAGCUUUUUUAUUUGACGAACUUUUCUUUCCUCGGAAAGUAUAUAGUCCGAAGUGUAUAGUCCGUAAGUAUAUAGUCCGAAAACUCUAUAAAAGUAAUGGUUUCGAACUAUGCGGAAAGCCAGAGCGCGUAUUAUUAAUUAUUCAGAAUAAAUAUGACAUUGUUUUUCAGUGUCCGGUAAUUUGUUCCGCUAAAAUAAUGUGAUAAACACGAAUAUAGAUGGAGUGUAAGAGCGAAAGAGAAAAAAAGAGGGGAGAGAGAAAGAGAAAGAGAGAGAGAGAGAGAGAGAGAGAGAGAGAAAAGGCUCGGAGAAAAUUAUGGCUGUGGAACGAUGUUUACGUGGCGAAAAAGCGUGAAUGGUGUGUCGAGUGCGAGCUCAUCCUGCAGACAUUUAAAAAAACGGAUAUCAUCGUAUAUAAUAACGUUAUCAUAAGCGUGCCUAUAAACACGAUUGGUUCGCGGUAUAGCAACACGAUGAAUUUUCCUUUCCUCUAUAUAAUAGCCGUAGAAGAUUUAUGUGAGAAUCUUCGCGAUAUGGUUACCAGCAAUAAAGAUAACCGAGUGAAACAAGUAACAACCAUGGUGUUAUCAGAUGUCGGACGUUCCACGCUAUUGUUACUGUGAGAAAUUGGAGCUGAUGUUUUCCAAGAUACAUUAUAUUUUUCAUAUGAUGUCAAUUAUCUGAAUUUAUUAUACAUAAGAGCAUAUUUUAAACAGGAAAUAGUUGUCUUGUUGAUGAUUUCACGUUGAAUAGAAAGAAGAAUGAUAUGCAACAACAAUGUCGAUAAAGAUCUUUGUUCUACAAUAGUAUAAAUUAAACACAUAAUGCAACCAUAGAAAUAAAUAAGUGCUCUAAAAAUAAUUUCAUUUUAAGAGGAUCGAAGUAAAAUGUAGCUAAUAACAGAAAAGAAGAUUUCUCUUUGAUUCUAAACAAUUGGCUGGUAUUACACAUUAUUAUUAUUUAGCUGACCGUUGUAAGCCCUAAUUCUCACCGAAUCUAUAUUAUAUAAUAAAGACGAUCCAUCAUUUUUCAUAUUUAA
Long non-coding RNA from Vespa crabro (European hornet), 7210 nucleotides. RefSeq lists it as uncharacterized. The record is from RefSeq and is a predicted model, not a curated record. NCBI's taxonomy places the organism in Eukaryota, Metazoa, Arthropoda, Insecta, Hymenoptera, Vespidae. The transcript is spliced from 2 exons.